AGUGAACGCUGGCGGUAGGCCUAACACAUGCAAGUCGAACGGCAGCACAGUAAGAGCUUGCUCUUACGGGUGGCGAGUGGCGGACGGGUGAGGAAUACAUCGGAAUCUACUUUUUCGUGGGGGAUAACGUAGGGAAACUUACGCUAAUACCGCAUACGACCUACGGGUGAAAUCAGGGGAUCUUCGGACCUUGCGCGUUUGAAUGAGCCGAUGUCGGAUUAGCUAGUUGGCGGGGUAAAGGCCCACCAAGGCGACGAUCCGUAGCUGGUCUGAGAGGAUGAUCAGCCACACUGGAACUGAGACACGGUCCAGACGCCUACGGGAGGCAGCAGUGGGGAAUAUUGGACAAUGGGCGCAAGCCUGAUCCAGCCAUACCGCGUGGGUGAAGAAGGCCUUCGGGUUGUAAAGCCCUUUUGUUGGGAAAGAAAAGCAGCAGGUUAAUACCCCGCUGUUCUGACGGUACCCAAAGAAUAAGCACCGGCUAACUUCGUG
RNAcentral lists this ribosomal RNA (492 nucleotides) under uncultured bacterium. RNAcentral describes it as "partial 16S ribosomal RNA". It matches the Rfam family "Bacterial small subunit ribosomal RNA", at positions 29 to 507 of the family's 1533-position model. The record is from RNAcentral.